RNAcentral lists this transfer RNA (62 nucleotides) under Polyplax reclinata. RNAcentral's name for it is "tRNA-Gly". Lineage: Eukaryota; Metazoa; Arthropoda; Insecta; Psocodea; Polyplacidae. The record is from RNAcentral.
GCCUUAGAAGUAUAGGUUGUACAUCUAAUUUCCAGUUAGAUAGCCCUUUGUUGGUUAAGGCA